Molecule: transfer RNA, 73 nt
Filed under: Candidatus Woesearchaeota archaeon
Lineage: Archaea; Nanobdellati; Candidatus Woesearchaeota
Description: tRNA-Thr
Rfam family: tRNA
About the family: Transfer RNA (tRNA) molecules are approximately 80 nucleotides in length. Their secondary structure includes four short double-helical elements and three loops (D, anti-codon, and T loops). Further hydrogen bonds mediate the characteristic L-shaped molecular structure. tRNAs have two regions of fundamental functional importance: the anti-codon, which is responsible for specific mRNA codon recognition, and the 3' end, to which the tRNAs corresponding amino acid is attached (by aminoacyl-tRNA synthetases). tRNAs cope with the degeneracy of the genetic code in two manners: having more than one tRNA (with a specific anti-codon) for a particular amino acid; and 'wobble' base-pairing, i.e. permitting non-standard base-pairing at the 3rd anti-codon position.
Source: RNAcentral
GCUCCGGUAGCUCAGUUGGUAGAGCGUAGCUCUCGUAAAGCUAAGGUCGAGGGUUCAAUCCCCUCCCGGAGCU